AAUGAACGCUGGUGGCAGACCUAACACAUGCAAGUCGAACGGUCUAUAUUAAACUUCGGUUUUUAUAGAUAGUGGCAAACGGGUGAGUAAAGCAUGGGAAUCUACCUAGAAGUUUGGAAUAGCUAUUAGAAAUGAUAGAUAAUACCAAAUACACCUCGAGAGGGAAAGUUGACUUCGGUCUUCGCUUUUAGAUGAGCCCAUGUUAAAUUAGUUAGUUGGUAGGGUAAUGGCCUACCAAGAUGAUGAUUUAUAGCUGGUCUUAGAGGAUGAUCAGCCACACUGGAAUUGGAGAUACGUCCAGACUCCGUACGGGAGCAGCAGGUGGGAAUUAGUGGAACAAGUGGGCGACAAGCCUGACUCC
Molecule: ribosomal RNA, 361 nt
Filed under: uncultured bacterium
Lineage: Bacteria
Description: bacterial SSU rRNA
Rfam family: Bacterial small subunit ribosomal RNA
Source: RNAcentral